RNAcentral lists this ribosomal RNA (548 nucleotides) under uncultured Ascomycota. RNAcentral's name for it is "LSU rRNA". It matches the Rfam family "Eukaryotic large subunit ribosomal RNA", at positions 399 to 966 of the family's 3401-position model. Lineage: Eukaryota; Fungi; Ascomycota. The record is from RNAcentral.
GUGAAAUUGUUGAAAGGGAAGCGCUUGCAACCAGACUUGCACGCAGUUGAUCAUCCGGUGUUCUCACCGGGGCACUCUGCUGCGUUCAGGCCAGCAUCGGUUUUGGUGGUUGGAUAAAGGCCUUGGGAAUGUGGCUUCCUUCGGGGAGUGUUAUAGCCCUCGGUGCAAUGCAGCCUACCGGGACCGAGGACCGCGCUUCGGCUAGGAUGCUGGCGUAAUGGUUGUAAGCGACCCGUCUUGAAACACGGACCAAGGAGUCUAACAUCUAUGCGAGUGUUUGGGUGUUAAACCCAUACGCGUAAUGAAAGUGAACGGAGGUGAGAACCCUUAAGGGUGCAUCAUCGACCGGUCCUGAUGUCUUCGGAUGGAUCUGAGUAAGAGCAUAGCUGUUGGGACCCGAAAGAUGGUGAACUAUGCGUGAAUAGGGUGAAGCCAGAGGAAACUCUGGUGGAGGCUCGCAGCGGUUCUGACGUGCAAAUCGAUCGUCAAAUUUGCGCAUAGGGGCGAAAGACUUAUCGAACCAUUAGAAUAACUACUAGGUGGUUAAG